RNAcentral lists this unclassified non-coding RNA (200 nucleotides) under Helotiales sp. Its description in RNAcentral is "partial internal transcribed spacer 2". Lineage: Eukaryota; Fungi; Ascomycota; Leotiomycetes; Helotiales. The record is from RNAcentral.
UUAAGUUCAGCGGGUAUCCCUACCUGAUCCGAGGUCAAACGUAGAAAGUUGGGGGUUGAUGGCCACCGUCACCAGGACUCCGUAGCGAGGAAAUUUACUACGCUCAGAGCCCGAUGGCGCCGCCACUCAUUUUAAGGCCCGCCGGGUUAGCAGCGGAGCCCAAGACCAAGCAGUGCUUGAGGGUUGUAAUGACGCUCGAA